UAGUAAUCGCGGAUCAGCAUGCCGCGGUGAAUACGUUCCCGGGCCUUGUACACACCGCCCGUCACACCAUGGGAGUCGGUAACACCCGAAGCCGAUAGUCUAACGAAAGAGGACGUCGUCGAAGGUGGGAUUGAUGACUGGGGUGAAGUCGUAACAAGGUAAC
This 163-nucleotide ribosomal RNA is filed under the name uncultured bacterium. RNAcentral's name for it is "partial 16S ribosomal RNA". It matches the Rfam family "Bacterial small subunit ribosomal RNA", at positions 1336 to 1500 of the family's 1533-position model. The record is from RNAcentral.